GAUGAACGCUGGCGGCGUGCCUAAUACAUGCAAGUCGAGCGAACGGACGAGAAGCUUGCUUUUCUGAUGUUAGCGGCGGACGGGUGAGUAACACGUGGAUAACCUACCUAUAAGACUGGGAUAACUUCGGGAAACCGGAGCUAAUACCGGAUAAUAUUUUGAACCGCAUGGUUCAAUAGUGAAAGACGGUCUUGCUGUCACUUAUAGAUGGAUCCGCGCUGCAUUAGCUAGUUGGUAAGGUAACGGCUUACCAAGGCAACGAUGCGUAGCCGACCUGAGAGGGUGAUCGGCCACACUGGAACUGAGACACGGUCCAGACUCCUACGGGAGGCAGCAGUAGGGAAUCUUCCGCAAAGGGCGAAAGCCUGACGGAGCAACGCCGCGUGAGUGAUGAAGGUCUUCGGAUCGUAAAACUCUGUUAUUAGGGAAGAACAAAUGUGUAAGUAACUGUGCACAUCUUGACGGUACCUAAUCAGAAAGCCACGGCUAACUACGUG
This 497-nucleotide ribosomal RNA is filed under the name uncultured bacterium. RNAcentral describes it as "partial 16S ribosomal RNA". It matches the Rfam family "Bacterial small subunit ribosomal RNA", at positions 28 to 507 of the family's 1533-position model. The record is from RNAcentral.